AUGGCGGGAUCUGUGGGCACAGGCAGGGUAGCACCUCGGUCGUCCCCAAAGCGGUACAACGGCAUGGAUCCGCCGUUAUCUUUGACCAGGCCGACCAUGUUCGAUCUGCAGAAGACGGCUGAGCUCGAGAAGUUCUUGGUUGAAGCGGGCCUUUACGAGAGCGAGGAGCAGUCCGCGAAACGGGAGGAGGUGCUACGGGAGAUUGAUGGGAUAGUUAAGGAAUGGGUGAAGCAGUUAACUAGUCAGAAAGGGUAUUCUGAGCAAAUGAUUGAAAAGGCAAAUGUAGUCCUUUUCACUUUUGGAUCUUACCGCUUGGGGGUUCAUGGGCCUGGAGCAGACAUUGAUAUCUUAUGUGUUGGACCUUCAUAUGUGAACCGAGAGGAGGAUUUCUUUGUCACACUACAUGGCAUAUUAACACAACUGGAAGAAGUGACUGAACUACAACCUGUACCUGAUGCUCAUGUACCUCUUAUGAAAUUUAAGUUCCACAGGAUGGCAAUUGACCUUCUCUAUGCCAGUGUAUCUCUUGCAGUAAUACCACCANNNNNNNNNNNNNNNNNNNNNNNNNNNNNNNNNNNNNNNNNNNNNNNNNNUGUUCGAAGUCUUAAUGGGUGCAGGGUGGCAGACCAGAUUCUUCGACUUGUUCCAAAUGUUGAGAAUUUCCGGACAACACUCAGGUGUUUGAAGUACUGGGCAGAGAGAAGGGGCGUUUAUUCCAAUGUUACUGGUUUCCUUGGGGGUGUCAACUGGGCCAUAUUGGUUGCUCUUAUCUGCCAACUCUAUCCUAAUGCUGUACCAAGUAUGCUGGUCUCAAGAUUCUUCAGAGUUUUUACGCAGUGGCAGUGGCCGAAUCCAGUGAUGCUUUGUGCCAUUGAGAAUGAUGACCUUGGUUUUUCUGUAUGGGAUCCACGUAAAAAUCCUCGUGAUAGAUCUCAUGUUAUGCCUAUCAUAACUCCAGGCUAUCCAUGCAUGAACUCUAGCUAUAAUGUAUCUUCUAGCACAUUGAGGGUUAUCAAGGAGCAAUUUAAGCUCGGUAAUAAGAUUUGUCAGGAAAUUGACCUUAAUAAGGCUAGUUGGACUGCCUUGUUUGAGCCUUUUAUUUUUUUCGAGGCAUAUACGAAGUAUCUAGUGGUUGACAUUGUUGCGGACAAUGAUGAUGAUCUUCGGCUUUGGAAGGGAUGGGUUGAGUCUCGACUGAGGCAGCUGACCUUGAAGAUAGAGCGGGAUACUAAUGGAAUGCUGCAAUGCCAUCCUUACCCAUGUGACUAUUCAAAUCCUACAGUACAGUGUGCUCAUUGCUCCUUCUACAUGGGCUUAUCAAGGAAAGAAGGGAUGAAAAUACAUGGUCAAAACUUUGAUAUUCGUGGAACGGUAGAUGAGUUUAUGCAUGAAAUCGGAAUGUACACAUUGUGGAAGUCUGGAAUGGACCUAGCGGUCACUCAUGUUCGUAAGAAGCAGAUCCCUUAUUAUGUAUUUGAACAGGGUUACAAGAAACCUUGUCCACCAAUGCAUGCAAACCAGCAAGAGCAGUCUGAUAGACAUGACACUGAAGAUGACACACUGACAGCAUCUAUGUUGGGCCAACUAAAGAGAAAGCGUGAUUUUGAUGAAGCUGGUCACAGUGAAUCAUGUAAAUCUGUUAAAAGGUCUUCAGUAUGCCUAGGCUACGAGGAAAGUCCACCUGAAUAUGGAAGCAUUGUAAGUAAAGUUGUAUCCGGAAACACAGUCAAAUUGGUUUCCAGUGCCCUCUGUAAUGGAGUUCAGAAUGGACUGUCGCAUGGCAAUGUAAAUUUGGAAUCAGCAAAUUGCUCCAGUUCACCACAUGGAUCUGAGGAGUCUGCAGCAUCAGGCACAAGCUGUGCAGCUGUGGAAACAGUUCACAUGGUUUAUGAAACUGUUGGUCCUGAAAGCUCAAUGGCAUGUGUUAUCAAUGGUAUGGUCCAGACUAUGGCAGUGCACACACCUUUAAAAUGUGUGGCUGAGAAAGAUGAACCCAAGUUUGAGGGAAUUGGUAGCUUGGCAAACAGCAAUUCUGCCGAGUUUAUGGAGCAGACAGAAAUGCUCACUGGAAACGUCCUUGGUGAGAAUAUGCACUUGUGUGAAUGA
Molecule: ribosomal RNA, 2106 nt
Filed under: Triticum aestivum (bread wheat)
Lineage: Eukaryota; Viridiplantae; Streptophyta; Magnoliopsida; Poales; Poaceae
Description: partial small subunit ribosomal RNA
Source: RNAcentral